RNAcentral lists this ribosomal RNA (776 nucleotides) under uncultured Neocallimastigales. Its description in RNAcentral is "partial large subunit ribosomal RNA". It matches the Rfam family "Eukaryotic large subunit ribosomal RNA", at positions 23 to 635 of the family's 3401-position model. The record is from RNAcentral. Lineage: Eukaryota; Fungi; Neocallimastigomycota; Neocallimastigomycetes; Neocallimastigales.
ACACGCAUGACACACCGCAUAUCAAUAAGCGGAGGAAAAGAAACUAACAAGGAUUCCCCUAGUAACGGCGAGUGAAGCGGGAAGAGCUCAAAUUUGAAAUCUUCAAGGGUUUCCCUUGACGAAUUGUAGUUUAAAGAAGUGUUUUCUGUUAGAGAGGUGGUAAAAGUUCUUUGGAAUAGGACAUCAUAGAGGGUGAGAAUCCCGUAUUUGAUCACUUUCUACUAACGUUGUGAUACACUUUCAAAGAGUCGGAUUGUUUGGGAAUGCAGUCCAAAAUGGGUGGUAAAUUUCAUCUAAAGCUAAAUACUUGGCGAGAGACCGAUAGCGAACAAGUACCGUGAGGGAAAGAUGAAAAGAACUUUGAAAAGAGAGUUAAACAGUACGUGAAAUUGUCAAAAGGGAAGCGUUUGACACCAGUGUUGUUUUCUCGAAAAUCAAUUACGAAUGUUUUAUUUUUGAGGAGUUAUGACUUCAUCGGCUUGCUCCUUUCUUUAUGAAACUUUCUUAAUGCACUUUUCGGUUAACAAGUCAACAUCAAUUUCUUUUGUUGUAAAAGGGUAUGAGGAAGGUGGCUUUCUUUUCGGAGAAAGUGUUUAUAGCCUUGUGCCUCUGCAAUCGGAGAGAUUGAGGUCUGCAGCGUAGAUCCUUCGGGGUUAGAUACAUUUGUGCUAAGUUAUAGCUUUUCAUAGACAACUUGUUGACUAUGUUUAGUCUUGUAGCUUACUCGCUGACGCUAUUUUACCUACGCUUAGGAUGUUGAAGAUGUAGCACAUCAU